This is a long non-coding RNA of Xenopus laevis (African clawed frog), 692 nucleotides long. RefSeq lists it as uncharacterized. NCBI's taxonomy places the organism in Eukaryota, Metazoa, Chordata, Amphibia, Anura, Pipidae. The transcript is spliced from 3 exons. The record is from RefSeq and is a predicted model, not a curated record.
GUUUGUACAGGUACAGAACAAUCUGAGAAAUCUCAGCUUUUGGCUGGUACAAAACAAUCUGAGAAAUCUCAGCUUUUGGUUGUGUCCAGUAUCCAGUGUCCAGAAUAUGCUGGUGAAAACAUCAAUGGCAAGAUAUUUCUUAUUAUUAAAUGCUUUCAAUGAUUGUAUAACAUUUUUUCCCUUUUUAAUUAUAUCCAUAUUUACAUUGACCCUUAUUAUGCUAGAUUCUUCAAUCUCUUUUGCUGUCCCUGUGCAAUCUUACUCUUCUGGGGCAGGGAUUGAUGUGAAAUAUGUAUAAUUCCUGCAAAACAGUGUAAAUGUGUCAGUGCAAUUUAAAUAAAGUAAAUAAAUAACUGCAGAAUUGAAGAUCUAAAAAUCAGGUCCUUGCCAAUUGAGUCCCAAGUGCACUACAGAUUUGUUUCCUUUUUUUAGAUGUGAACUGACGUGAUUCAUUUUUGGCCAUCAUUUAUGUUACAAGUUUCCUCUUUAUGUUUGUUUCUCUGUGUAAUAAUUGAAUUGUAUUUUCUAUACAUUAUAAAUAAUCAUAUAUUUAAAAAAAUAAAUAGUCAUCAAUAACAUAAAAAUUAUGUGCUGUUGACUUUUUCCCAGUCUCAUGGUUCUUUAGUGUAUUUACACUACUCAGACCUUUCUAAUACAACAUACAUCAACAUAUAGACAAAUAAAAGAGAUCC